GUGGCCUCACUAUGGCUGACACAGGAAUCUGGACUGGAAGUGUGGAAAUGACUUCUGAACACACUCAUCACCCAGUAGAAAUACAUAAAUGGUUCCUCCAGCUGCCAUGAGCCAGAUGAACCAGCGCAUAUGAGACGCCACAGGUCCGAGUUCACGGAGAUUUAACCUACAGAAGUAAACAUGAAAACAAAGAACAGAAAGGAUUGCUUACAAAGCUUAAUAAGAACCCUCAACGAAAUCCUGAACCAGAUCACAUAACCACAGCAGAUACCUAAUACUCACACCCCACGUCUCCAUUAUCAGCCUCUUUGCCAAGAAAGAAUAUGAGAAGAACUACUGCAGCAGGUGUUAUGGAAGACUUUUUGUAAGAAUUUAACCAGAGGUCCGGAUUU
Molecule: long non-coding RNA, 392 nt
Organism: Dipodomys ordii (Ord's kangaroo rat)
Lineage: Eukaryota; Metazoa; Chordata; Mammalia; Rodentia; Heteromyidae
Exons: 3
Source: RefSeq, a predicted model, not a curated record